This 262-nucleotide unclassified non-coding RNA is filed under the name Hevea brasiliensis (rubber tree). Lineage: Eukaryota; Viridiplantae; Streptophyta; Magnoliopsida; Malpighiales; Euphorbiaceae. The record is from RNAcentral.
GUAAAAUUAACUUAAUUAAGAUUAAUAUUAAGUUUCCUAUUUAAUUACCCUUCAUAUAGUCAUAUACAUGACUCAUAUUCCACUCUUAAAACAAAUUUAACCAUAAGAUCAAAAGGGUUUUGCUUUAAUUUGUUUUCCAGAAACGUAAUGCAUUUUCCCUUUCAUCAACAUACAUUUUUAUUUUUUUAUUACUAAUUCAAAGUUUCAUUUUCAAUGAAUAGGAUUUAAAAGAAGAAACCUUAUCAAUCACUUAUUCCCAGAU